Molecule: ribosomal RNA, 55 nt
Filed under: Amanita rubrovolvata
Lineage: Eukaryota; Fungi; Basidiomycota; Agaricomycetes; Agaricales; Amanitaceae
Description: partial 25S ribosomal RNA
Source: RNAcentral
AACUUGACCUCAAAUCAGGUAGGAUUACCCGCUGAACUUAAGCAUAUCAAUAAGC